This 468-nucleotide ribosomal RNA is filed under the name uncultured bacterium. RNAcentral's name for it is "partial 16S ribosomal RNA". It matches the Rfam family "Bacterial small subunit ribosomal RNA", at positions 28 to 507 of the family's 1533-position model. The record is from RNAcentral.
GACGAACGCUGGCGGCGUGCUUAACACAUGCAAGUCGAACGGAAAGGCCCUGCUUUUGUGGGGUGCUCGAGUGGCGAACGGGUGAGUAACACGUGAGUAACCUGCCCUUGACUUUGGGAUAACUUCAGGAAACUGGGGCUAAUACCGGAUAGGAGCUCCUGCUGCAUGGUGGGGGUUGGAUAGUUUCGGCGGUUGGGGAUGGACUCGCGGCUUAUCAGCUUGUUGGUGGGGAAGUGGCUUACCAAGGCUUUGGCGGGUGGCCGGCCUGAGAGGGUGACCGGCAACAUUGGGACUGAGAUACGGCCCAGACUCCUACGGGAGGCAGCAGUGGGGAAUAUUGCACAAUGGGCGGAAGCCUGAUGCAGCAACGCCGCGUGCGGGAUGACGGCCUUCGGGUUGUAAACCGCUUUCGCCUGUGACGAAGCGUGAGUGACGGUAAUGGGUAAAGAAGCACCGGCUAACUACGUG